ACAGUACUCCCCCGUCCGGAAAUAUUUGUCAUCAAAAUGAACAAAAGGGGUUGUAUCUAGAUGUAGAUAUAUCCCUUUUUAUUCAUUUUGAUAACAAGUAUUUUCGGACGAAGGAAGUAUUAU
This is a non-coding RNA of Triticum aestivum (bread wheat), 123 nucleotides long. The record is from Rfam. Lineage: Eukaryota; Viridiplantae; Streptophyta; Magnoliopsida; Poales; Poaceae.